CGGUAGCUGGACGCACCGGGCUCGCCAGAGCCAAACCCAGCCAUCAGUCCUUCCUGGACCUCAACCCACCGCGGG
This 75-nucleotide non-coding RNA is filed under the name unclassified sequences. RNAcentral describes it as "DUF3085 RNA". It matches the Rfam family "DUF3085 RNA". The record is from RNAcentral.